GAUUAGCUUGUUGGCGGGGUAACGGCCCACCAAGGCGACGAUCAGUAGGGGUUCUGAGAGGAAGGUCCCCCACAUUGGAACUGAGACACGGUCCAAACUCCUACGGGAGGCAGCAGUGAGGAAUAUUGGUCAAUGGGCGAGAGUCUGAACCAGCCAAGUAGCGUGCAGGAUGACGGCCCUAUGGGUUGUAAACUGCUUUUAUAAGGGAAUAAAGUGAGUCUCGUGAGACUUUUUGCAUGUACCUUAUGAAUAAGGACCGGCUAAUUCCGUGCCAGCAGCCGCGGUAAUACGGAAGGUCCGGGCGUUAUCCGGAUUUAUUGGGUUUAAAGGGAGCGUAGGCCGGAGAUUAAGCGUGUUGUGAAAUGUAGACGCUCAACGUCUGCACUGCAGCGCGAACUGGUUUCCUUGAGUACGCACAAAGUGGGCGGAAUUCGUGGUGUAGCGGUGAAAUGCUUAGAUAUCACGAAGAACUCCGAUUGCGAAGGCAGCUCACUGGAGCGCAACUGACGCUGAAGCUCGAAAGUGCGGGUAUCGAACAGGAUUAGAUACCCUGGUAGUCCGCACGGUAAACGAUGGAUGCCCGCUGUUGGUCUGAAUAGGUCAGCGGCCAAGCGAAAGCAUUAAGCAUCCCACCUGGGGAGUA
This 643-nucleotide ribosomal RNA is filed under the name uncultured bacterium. Its description in RNAcentral is "bacterial SSU rRNA". It matches the Rfam family "Bacterial small subunit ribosomal RNA", at positions 239 to 882 of the family's 1533-position model. The record is from RNAcentral.